UACGUAGGGUGCGAGCGUUGUCCGGAAUUAUUGGGCGUAAAGAGCUCGUAGGCGGUCUGUCGCGUCGGUCGUGAAAACUUGGGGCUUAACCCUGAGCUUGCGGUCGAUACGGGCAUGACUGGAGUUCGGUAGGGGAGACUGGAAUUCCUGGUGUAGCGGUGAAAUGCGCAGAUAUCAGGUGGAACACCGGUGGCGAAGGCGGUGGUCUGGGCCGGAACUGACGCUGAUGAGCGAAAGCGUGGGUAGCGAACAGG
RNAcentral lists this ribosomal RNA (254 nucleotides) under uncultured bacterium. RNAcentral describes it as "partial 16S ribosomal RNA". It matches the Rfam family "Bacterial small subunit ribosomal RNA", at positions 524 to 776 of the family's 1533-position model. The record is from RNAcentral.